AAGCGCGACGGAAACUCUUGCAAGUGUGCCGCAAGGCGGUGAGGUAUAAAGUUGCUGUUGAGCGCGAACAAGUGUAUAGAUAAUCACCGAGAGAUAGAGAAAGGCAAGGCAGAAGCAGCUGCCAUUUACUGUAAUUGCCAAGAUGAAUGUGAAAGUGGAGACAUGCGAGAUAUCUUGGACAUAAUUGCUGUGCAAAUUAAGGAGGAAGAAGAAGAAUGUGGAGAGAAGUCUGUCUGGUAUGAACCGGGCAAUCCUGGCAGUAUGGAUGACAAUCAUGAACUGGUAGCUGUGGGCAUUAAAGAAGAGGCAGAGGAGAUGCAUUGAGCUUAACAUGCUUCACGCUUAUAUGUUUGUGCAAGAUCUAACUCUAGGACUCAAGAGGAUCAAACAUCACCUACACAUCAGUCUAAAGAAAGUAUUUGCAAGAAGCUGUUUGGAUGACAUCCUGUUUGUUUCUGGAAAGUGCGUCUCUGAAGAGAACUCCUCUGAUCUCAUUCAUUACAGUAAUACGGCUUCUCUCCUGUCUGAACUCUGCCGUGGAUCUGAAGGGUGCUCAUUUAUGAAAAGUGUUUACCACAUAUAUAUAUAGAAGAUAUUCGGAAUUUCACUGAGUAAUCUUUGCAUUGAGGAACCUAUGAAAAGCAAUGAACUGAACGGCAAUGUGCAGGAGCCGCUGUUUGUGAAUACGGAUUCAGAGAGAGCACAGGAAGACAUUGAAAUGGGGGAGAAUGGUGAAGACACAAGAGACUCUUAUAUUUAAUUUUGAACAUCAGCAGAACAUGAACAAAUUCCUGUCUGAACUGCAUGAUGAAAAGAGACCGUGUCUUCAUGCCCAAGUCCUGAGCAGCGGCGAUGACAAUAAAUAUUCCGAAAAGGAGUCAGAGCAAAGGCGAGUUACCUGCACUCUAGGGGUCCAGUGACUGCGGCCCACUCACUCGGCCCGUCUUCCUGUGUUUCUUUUUUUUUUCUCUCUUUCUCCCUUGUUGUAAAUAUGCAUAUACUGUUUUAGUUGCUUUUUUCUGAUAUUUCAGAACACCUAAUUUUACUUGUAUUAAACUAUUGCAUGGAUAUUUAUGAAUGAACUUAUAUGAGAUGUCUUUUAUUUUGUUUGUUAAAAAUACCUAUGAGGAAGUGCCCACACCAUUUUCCGAUCAACCAUGUAUUUUGAUGCCCACUUAAAUUGCACAGCAGGAAGGAUUUUUGGAAUUAGUAGAUCCUUAAUAAACAUGUUGUUAAAGUGUCUUUUCGCUAUACUAAUCCCAUUUACCCUUAUAAGGUGUCCUGGCUGGGUCUGACCCCCACCCUCUUGUGACACUAGACAAGGACACCUUGACUGCCAUUAGGUAUCGGGAUGAAAUCCGUGGACCCUUUGUCAGACCCUAUACUUGUGC
Long non-coding RNA from Polypterus senegalus (gray bichir), 1391 nucleotides. RefSeq lists it as uncharacterized. The transcript is spliced from 5 exons. NCBI's taxonomy places the organism in Eukaryota, Metazoa, Chordata, Cladistia, Polypteriformes, Polypteridae. The record is from RefSeq and is a predicted model, not a curated record.